CAUUGUUAAAAAAAAAUAAAAUAAAAUAAAAAACAAAUGCCAGUUGUAGACCACGGUGCACACACAAAAUAAAAACAAAUGCUAUACCUUCCCAAGGUCAACAAAUGUUUUGUAUCUUCCCUAGCAAGCUGAACAAACAAAAUAAUUAAAAAAAUAAAACAGAUCAGAGGCAGCACUUCGUCUUCAACACAAAGCUGAACACAGAACAGAGGCAGCUUGGAGAUUCAACACAGAUCUGAAAAUUUGUGAUGGAAUCUCACCUCGAAGUGGUUCAUGUGCUGUAAAGACAAAAGAGAAAAGCUCAAUCAUAAUAAAGAUUCUUCACUAGGGAGUUUAAAAGGAGAAGCAUGAACAAUAGUGCCUUUAUGUUCAAUCAGAAUGGUUUCUAAAUGAGGGUGACUAGAUGAAACAAAAGUAGUAGAGGAAGUUUUCCAUUUAGUUUUUGUAAUAACGUUUACUUUUUGAUAAUAAUUUUCUAAAUAAUCAAAAAAAUUAAUUUCAGUA
Camellia sinensis is the source of this 504-nucleotide long non-coding RNA. RefSeq lists it as uncharacterized. The record is from RefSeq and is a predicted model, not a curated record. NCBI's taxonomy places the organism in Eukaryota, Viridiplantae, Streptophyta, Magnoliopsida, Ericales, Theaceae.